RNAcentral lists this unclassified non-coding RNA (604 nucleotides) under Hevea brasiliensis (rubber tree). Lineage: Eukaryota; Viridiplantae; Streptophyta; Magnoliopsida; Malpighiales; Euphorbiaceae. The record is from RNAcentral.
UAAAACGUAUUUUAGGCCCUCACAAGUUUGAGCUUUUAGGCUCUAUGAUUUCUUGACACCAACAUAAAUGUGCGUGGAAGUUGCAAAAAAUAGAAAAUGGACAUCAGAAUAUUAUAGCUCUUUAUUCUCCAAUCAAUUCAAAUUUAUAAUCAUUUUUUUCCAAAUAUGGCAUCAAAAUCCAAAUAUUAAUUAAAAAAUCUUUUGAUUGUGACUCAAAACAUUCAAUAGAUAACUGAAUUAGGUGAAGGUCUAUAAUUAAAUUUAAAUUAUGUAAAUAUGUUAUUAUUAUUUUCUAAAGCUAUAUGGACCUAACCCUCCCUUUUAGGAUAGGUACAUAGGCAGAGCUUCUAGUGUGGUCCAAAUUAAGCAAUUUGUGCAUUAUACUAGCAUUAUUUAAACAUUUUCAGAGUCCUAGUAGAAUUAUACACCUUUUUUUUGUCAAAAGAAAUUAUACAACUUGUUAGCAUUAUAAUAACGUUUGGCCAAGUAGAAAAAUAAAUAUAUAUUAUACUAUCAUUAUUUAGUUUGAAAUUCUUGUUUUCUUUCAUGGGAUAUUUAUGCUUAGUAAAAUGGGAUGUUUUAAAAGAAAUAAAAAGUGACAAAG